This 645-nucleotide ribosomal RNA is filed under the name uncultured bacterium. RNAcentral describes it as "bacterial SSU rRNA". It matches the Rfam family "Bacterial small subunit ribosomal RNA", at positions 8 to 649 of the family's 1533-position model. The record is from RNAcentral.
AGAGUUUGAUCAUGGCUCAGGAUGAACGCUGGCGGCGUGCUUAACACAUGCAAGUCGAACGGGGGUCAUUAGGUGGAAGUCUUCGGACGGAAGUUUUUUGACUCGAGUGGCGGACGGGUGAGUAACACGUGAGUAACCUGCCUUUUGCUGGGGAAUAACUGUGGGAAACCAUGGCUAAUACCGCAUGUUGUGUUCACAAGGCAUCUUGUGGAUAUGAAAGGAGCAAUCCGGCAGAAGAUGGGCUCGCGUCCGAUUAGGUAGUUGGUGGGGUAAUGGCCCACCAAGCCUGCGAUCGGUAGCCGGACUGAGAGGUCGAACGGCCACAUUGGGACUGAGACACGGCCCAGACUCCUACGGGAGGCAGCAGUGGGGAAUUUUGGGCAAUGGGGGCAACCCUGACCCAGCGACGCCGCGUGAAGGACGAAGGCCUUCGGGUUGUAAACUUCUUUGGGGAGGGACGAAACUGACGGUACCUCCAGAACAAGCCACGGCUAACUACGUGCCAGCAGCCGCGGUAAUACGUAGGUGGCAAGCGUUAUCCGGAUUUACUGGGUGUAAAGGGCGCGCAGGCGGCCUCGCAAGUCAGGAUGUGAAAGCUCAAGGCUUAACCUUGGAAUGUCAUCUGAAACUGCGGGACUUGAGUAU